GAUGAACGCUGGCGGCGUGCCUAAUUCAUGCAAGUCGAGCGAACAGACGAGGAGCUUGCUCCUUUGACGUUAGCGGCGGACGGGUGAGUAACACGUGGGUAACCUACCUAUAAGACUGGGAUAACUUCGGGAAACCGGAGCUAAUACCGGAUAAUAUUUCGAACCGCAUGGUUCGAUAGUGAAAGAUGGCUUUGCUAUCACUUAUAGAUGGACCUGCGCCGUAUUAGCUAGUUGGUAAGGUAACGGCUUACCAAGGCAACGAUACGUAGCCGACCUGAGAGGGUGAUCGGCCACACUGGAACUGAGACACGGUCCAGACUCCUACGGGAGGCAGCAGUAGGGAAUCUUCCGCAAUGGGCGAAAGCCUGACGGAGCAACGCCGCGUGAGUGAUGAAGGUCUUCGGAUCGUAAAACUCUGUUAUUAGGGAAGAACAAACGUGUAAGUAACUGUGCACGUCUUGACGGUACCUAAUCAGAAAGCCACGGCUAACUACGUG
Molecule: ribosomal RNA, 497 nt
Filed under: uncultured bacterium
Lineage: Bacteria
Description: partial 16S ribosomal RNA
Rfam family: Bacterial small subunit ribosomal RNA
Source: RNAcentral